GACGAACGCUGGCGGCGUGCCUAAUACAUGCAAGUAGAACGCUGAAGGAGGAGCUUGCUUCUCUGGAUGAGUUGCGAACGGGUGAGUAACGCGUAGGUAACCUGCCUGGUAGCGGGGGAUAACUAUUGGAAACGAUAGCUAAUACCGCAUAAGAGUAGAUGUUGCAUGACAUUUGCUUAAAAGGUGCAAUUGCAUCACUACCAGAUGGACCUGCGUUGUAUUAGCUAGUUGGUGAGGUAACGGCUCACCAAGGCAACGAUACAUAGCCGACCUGAGAGGGUGAUCGGCCACACUGGGACUGAGACACGGCCCAGACUCCUACGGGAGGCAGCAGUAGGGAAUCUUCGGCAAUGGACGGAAGUCUGACCGAGCAACGCCGCGUGAGUGAAGAAGGUUUUCGGAUCGUAAAGCUCUGUUGUAAGAGAAGAACGAGUGUGAGAGUGGAAAGUUCACACUGUGACGGUAU
This 466-nucleotide ribosomal RNA is filed under the name Streptococcus mitis. RNAcentral describes it as "bacterial SSU rRNA". It matches the Rfam family "Bacterial small subunit ribosomal RNA", at positions 28 to 478 of the family's 1533-position model. The record is from RNAcentral. Lineage: Bacteria; Bacillati; Bacillota; Bacilli; Lactobacillales; Streptococcaceae.